This 491-nucleotide long non-coding RNA is filed under the name Androctonus crassicauda. Lineage: Eukaryota; Metazoa; Arthropoda; Arachnida; Scorpiones; Buthidae. The record is from RNAcentral.
CUCAACUUAUGGCCAGUUUCAGUACAGCUCGGGCAGACCACAUCAGCUUUACACUGUUUGACCAAAUGUCCAUAGGCCCAACACUUAAUGCAAUGAUGGAAACUGUAAAAAAUCCCUUAUCUUGUGUGGUGGCUAGCCGAUGCUUAAAUAAUCAUUGUUUCACUGAUUGCCUUUCUAGUCCUCAGAUCCACCUCCAUCACCCAAGAGCACAGGUUUCUGUCUGCUCAUUUUCCGAACUGGAACACUCGAAAAUUGUUUGGGGAAAAUAGCUCACUCUCAAUGUGAUCAUUGAAAAUCUGCAUAUUACUUAUAAGAGCCUUAGCAGUAACCUCCAAAGGGGCUCUGGUAACCAUGAUCCUUGGAUGUCUCCAUGUUGAAUCCUUGACAUCAUAGUCUUUCUUCUCUUGACGUUUAGCCUUCAACUUUGUUGCACCAGAACUGGUGCAACAGGUGAUGACCACACCAGAUCUUAUGGUUUUUGCAUUCUUCAC